Sebastes umbrosus (honeycomb rockfish) is the source of this 1311-nucleotide long non-coding RNA. RefSeq lists it as uncharacterized. NCBI's taxonomy places the organism in Eukaryota, Metazoa, Chordata, Actinopteri, Perciformes, Sebastidae. The record is from RefSeq and is a predicted model, not a curated record. The transcript is spliced from 3 exons.
GUCAAUAUUACGAGAAAAAAGUCGUAACUUUACGAGAAAAAAAGAAAAUAAAGCAUAAAAUUACUACUUUAUAUUAUGACUUUAUUCUCAUAAUAUUAUGACCUAAUUUUUUUCCUCAAUGUGGACCUAAUACUCGUACUCGUCGUACCUUUAAACCUACAACAAUCAUAAAUAAAAUUGAAAAUGUAAACAAAAAACAGUCAUUCAUUUCCACAAUUUUUUAAAAAAAAAUCCACAGGGAGCCACUGGAGAGGGGCUAAAGAGCCGCAUGUGGCUCCAGAUUCGCAGGUUGAAGACCCCAUCAGAAUGACUAGUUAGCACCCACAUGACUGUCCAGCCCCAGGUCUUGAGGCCACAAUCAAGUCUCUGCACAACGGGGUUUCCAUUCAGAUCUUCUGCACGGUUUCCUUAUGGUUCCUGCCCUGAAUCUGAACUUGUUCUAGCAGGCCUCGCGUCCUCUGCAAACUGUCAGUCAGGAAGUGGGCCCACACUUGGGGGUAAUUCAUUUUCAACAGAUGUUUAUCAGCUUGUUCAAAAUCACAAGAUCCCAAUACACUUGCACGUAUUCACAGAAAACCAGAGUGAGAUUGUUUCUCUCGACUCCAGUCGUUUCCUUUUGUUUCUGUUUUUGUCUCUCUUCCACCAAAUGUCUCUCCUUCCCCUCCUCUUGUAAUGUCUAUCUCUCGCUCUGUGUGGACUUUCUGUUAUCGCCACUGUGGACCAUUGUGGCCUAACCCCCACAUUUACAAGGCCUCACAAAGGACAAGGAUGGUGAUUGUUAUUGGCCACCCACAAGAUACAGUGCAGUGUACGGGCCUCGGUGACCGUGUGUCAUGUGUAUCGCUGCAUCUGGCUUUCACUUCUUUGUUCAUAGUUCAUAGUUGCACAAAGAAAGGCCCCAAUGUCAGUUUUUACUGUUUCAUCAACUCACGUUCCUGUACCAUCCAGCUCAGUGUGCAACAAACCACAACUUUCCCUGACAUUUCUCAAGUGAAUAAACUGUGACCUAGUUCAUUUUGUACCGAGACGAUGAAAGCUGAUGGAGCAAAUAACACCUCUCAAGUGAGAUCUUCUGCAAAAUCGUGUCCCAACACCACUUGUGAUGUCAUGGGGUAUAUGAUUUUUAUUUUUUAUUUAAUUUAAUUAUUAUUGUGUCAUGCAUAAAUAAUAUGCCCAGCCCAAAUGGGCAUAGAAGACACCAUUAUUUAGAAAAUAAAGAAAAGACAAAGGCAGAAACCAGAGUAGCGAUAUAAAUUACAAAUAAUACUAAACAAAUGAACCUGAUGUGUUUUUCAAAGCUUGAGAAACAAA